CACAAAGAGGGAUGGAGGAACAAACUGCCACAGACAAGCCACAGAUGCUGUUUUCUGAACGGUGCCAACAACAUAAGGCCAGCGGAGACUGAUCAAGCUAUGGUGUGGACAGGAAUUAGCCUGGCGAGCGCAGCUAGAAGUGCCAAAUGCCGCCGCACAGUGACUGAGGCGAGAGAAGAUGAGAGCACUGCAGUCUUCGUGAAAUGCCUGAACUAUCAAGGGAUGAAGUUCAGUGCAGAUAUUCAAGGUGUGCAGAGAAUGAAUCCUACUGCCUUGGUCAGCUGCUGACUUUUCAUCUAACACCACCCUGAGAGUCAUCUAUUCGUUAUGAAGUGCCUCGUUGUCUAUUGGAUGGACUGUCAUUAUAUCAUGUACAGUCAUUCAUGUUUCCCUCUUGAUGAGCUGUAAUUGCUUUAGUGCUUUAGUCCCUAAACUUUUAAUCUUGUUCCAUCAUCAAGUAUAUUCCCUUUAGCCUCAGCCGUACUGUGAACUGUGCUGCUAUAAUGUAUUAGUUAGUUAUUUAGUUUUGUUUAUUAGCCUUUUGAAAAUGAUUUCCAUGUCAGUGGCAAUUACUGUGCCUCACAUUAUCACCUCAACAACAACACAGAAUGGAAAUAUAUCAAAACACCUCUUAUCACACAGCUUUGUUUUCCAGAGCUUAAAUAUCUGUGCCCAGGAAGUCCGCAAAGGUGGUAAUCUGGAUCUCUAACCAUAUUCACUUCUAUAAUUAGCCAAUAGUAGUAUAGUGUAUUAUAGAGUAUAAUAAUGUGCCAAAGAUGAUGAACAUGGAAAUCUUUACCUGCUAAACAUCAGCUCUUUUGCUUCAUCAUAAUGAGCAUGUACAUGCAUUUGCUCAAUGCAAAUACUGUCUUUAAAUACAGCCUUACAGACUGGCUUGUUGUAGAUUCUCUAGUCUUUUUUUUUUUUUUUUUUU
Molecule: long non-coding RNA, 934 nt
Organism: Acanthopagrus latus (yellowfin seabream)
Lineage: Eukaryota; Metazoa; Chordata; Actinopteri; Spariformes; Sparidae
Exons: 3
Source: RefSeq, a predicted model, not a curated record